ACGGUAGCACAGAGGAGCUUGCUCCUUGGGUGACGAGUGGCGGACGGGUGAGUAAUGUCUGGGAAACUGCCCGAUGGAGGGGGAUAACUACUGGAAACGGUAGCUAAUACCGCAUAACGUCGCAAGACCAAAGAGGGGGACCUUCGGGCCUCUUGCCAUCGGAUGUGCCCAGAUGGGAUUAGCUACUAGGUGGGGUAACGGCUCACCUAGGCGACGAUCCCUAGCUGGUCUGAGAGGAUGACCAGCCACACUGGAACUGAGACACGGUCCAGACUCCUACGGGAGGCAGCAGCGGGGAAUAUUGCACAAUGGGCGCAAGCCUGAUGCAGCCAUGCCGCGUGUCUGAAGAACGCCUUCGGGUUGUAAAGUACUUUCUGCGAGGAGGA
This 386-nucleotide ribosomal RNA is filed under the name Citrobacter freundii. Its description in RNAcentral is "bacterial SSU rRNA". It matches the Rfam family "Bacterial small subunit ribosomal RNA", at positions 66 to 448 of the family's 1533-position model. The record is from RNAcentral. Lineage: Bacteria; Pseudomonadati; Pseudomonadota; Gammaproteobacteria; Enterobacterales; Enterobacteriaceae.